This 648-nucleotide small RNA is filed under the name Pongo abelii (Sumatran orangutan). RNAcentral's name for it is "processed transcript". Lineage: Eukaryota; Metazoa; Chordata; Mammalia; Primates; Hominidae. The record is from RNAcentral.
AGUGCUGUGAAGGUGACAGCGUGAGGUGACCCAGCUGGCCCCCCGCGAUGCUGGCAGCACGGCGGCUGCUCGGCUGGUCGCUUCCCGCGCGGGUAUCUGUGCGUUUCAGCGGUGACACGACAGCACCCAAGAAAACCUCAUUUGGCUCGCUGAAGGAUGAAGACCGGAUUUUCACCAACCUGUACGGCCGCCAUGACUGGAGGUGAGACAGUGCCCUUAGUGUGUUGGGUCCCGGAGCAAGGCAUCCCCUUCACUGCCUUCCCUAUUCUGUACAGGCUGAAAGGUGCCCUGAGUCGAGGUGACUGGUACAAGACAAAGGAGAUCCUGCUGAAGGGGCCCGACUGGAUCCUGGGUGAGAUCAAGACAUCGGGUUUGCGGGGCCGUGGAGGCGCUGGCUUCCCCACUGGCCUCAAGUGGAGCUUCAUGAAUAAGCCCUCAGAUGGCAGCCUGUCUGACCUGUGGGCCCCUGCAGGCCCAAGUAUCUGGUGGUGAACGCAGACGAGGGGGAGCCGGGCACCUGCAAGGACCGGGAGAUCAUACGCCAUGAUCCUCACAAGCUGGUGGAAGGCUGCCUGGUGGGGGGCCGGGCAAUGGGCGCCCGUGCUGCCUAUAUCUACAUCCGAGGGGAGUUCUACAAUGAGGCCUCCA